UAUAUAGUCGUGUAUAGUAUAUAUAGUCGUGUAUAGUAUAUAUAUCCGUGUAUAGUAUAUAUAGUCGUGUAUAAUAUAUAUAGUCGUGUAUAAUAUAUAUAGUCGUGUAUAAUAUAUAUAGUCGUGUAUAGUAUAUAUAGUCGUGUAUAAUAUAUAUAGUCGUGUAUAAUAUAUAUAGUAGUGUAUAAUAUAUAUAGUCGUGUAUAAUAUAUAUAGUCGUGUAUAAUAUAUAUAGUCGUGUUCCUACCCAGUGAAGGCUGGACAUGAUAUUGAAUAGGAGGGAGCCCUAACAUUUAUCCUAUUAUCCAUCAGUAACUGCUGCGAAACCGUUAGAGUUGAGUUUUACGCUACGCUGAGACUAGCUAGCAACUGUCACGUGAGGUAGUGAGGGUCAGGACGUGUGCACGUGUGUAAAGUGUUUCUAAAAGAGAAAAUGCAGUAAUCAUCACAAAGAUUCCAGCAUGAUUAAAAAAAUAAAUGGAUCGGUACGGACGCGGGGUACGACUUUGCACAUGAAAGACAGAUACUGCAGGGUUUAAACAGGCACGACGGAU
This is a long non-coding RNA of Ictalurus punctatus (channel catfish), 554 nucleotides long. The record is from Ensembl. Lineage: Eukaryota; Metazoa; Chordata; Actinopteri; Siluriformes; Ictaluridae.